Cordylochernes scorpioides is the source of this 73-nucleotide non-coding RNA. NCBI's taxonomy places the organism in Eukaryota, Metazoa, Arthropoda, Arachnida, Pseudoscorpiones, Chernetidae. The record is from the annotation of a GenBank genome assembly.
GUCCAGGGAUGGGAAUCGAAUCCACAAUGUUCCGCUUACUGGGCAGAUGCCAUGUCCACUAGGCUACCCUGGA